UACGUAGGUGUCGAGCGUUAUCCGGAAUUACUGGGCGUAAAGGGCACGCAGGCGGCCUUUCAAGUUCGACGUGAAAGCGCCCGGCUCAACCGGGCGAGGUCGUUGAAAACUGAGGGGCUUGAGACCGCAAGAGGAAGGCGGAAUUCCCGGUGGAGUGGUGGAAUGCGUAGAGAUCGGGAAGAACACCCGUGGCGAAAGCGGCCUUCUGGUGCGGGUCUGACGCUGAGGUGCGAAAGCGUGGGGAGCGAACGGGAUUAGAAACCCCCGUAGUCC
This 273-nucleotide ribosomal RNA is filed under the name uncultured bacterium. RNAcentral's name for it is "partial 16S ribosomal RNA". It matches the Rfam family "Bacterial small subunit ribosomal RNA", at positions 524 to 796 of the family's 1533-position model. The record is from RNAcentral.